RNAcentral lists this long non-coding RNA (236 nucleotides) under Lathyrus oleraceus (garden pea). Its description in RNAcentral is "Pisum sativum (pea) long non-coding RNA (PSAT_LNC036180)". Lineage: Eukaryota; Viridiplantae; Streptophyta; Magnoliopsida; Fabales; Fabaceae. The record is from RNAcentral.
UUAAAAGUAUUUUUAAACAAUUAAAAACAUUCACACAAUCAAUUAAAUCAUGAAAAAUAUUAAUAAUGAUCCAAAAAAUAAUUUUAAUUCAGAAUAUAAAAGAGGAAAUUAUUUGAAUUUUUUUGGUGAAACUCUCAUAUUUUUUGGAUCAAUAUUAAAAUUAAUAUGAAUUAAUGAAAAUCAAAGGAAUAAAAAUAAAAAUCAAAAAAUCAAAAAAACGUGGACCACUUGAUCUC